This 418-nucleotide ribosomal RNA is filed under the name bacterium. RNAcentral's name for it is "partial 16S ribosomal RNA". It matches the Rfam family "Bacterial small subunit ribosomal RNA", at positions 355 to 776 of the family's 1533-position model. The record is from RNAcentral.
UGGGGGAUAUUGCACAAUGGGCGAAAGCCUGAUGCAGCGACGCCGCGUGGGGGAUGAAGGCCUUCGGGUUGUAAACUUCUUUUGCUCUGAACAAGGCAUGCUAAUGGGUGUGUUGAGUGUAGGGGUUGAUUAGCGCCGGCUAACUACGUGCCAGCAGCCGCGGUAAUACGUAGGGCGCGAGCGUUGUCCGGAAUUAUUGUCGUAAAGGGCUUGUAGGUGGCUGGUUGCGUCUGUCGUGAAAGCUCAUGGCUUAACUGUGGGUUUGCGGUGGGUACGGGCUGGCUUGAGUGCAGUAGGGGAGGCUGGAAUUCCUGGUGUAGCGGUGGAAUGCGCAGAUAUCAGGAGGAAUACCGGUGGCGAAGGCGGGUCUCUGGGCUGUUACUGACACUGAGGAGCGAAAGCAUGGGGAGCGAACAGG